This 261-nucleotide ribosomal RNA is filed under the name uncultured archaeon. RNAcentral describes it as "partial 16S ribosomal RNA". It matches the Rfam family "Archaeal small subunit ribosomal RNA", at positions 748 to 1009 of the family's 1478-position model. The record is from RNAcentral.
CAGCCCUAAACGAUGCGCGUUAGGUGUAUCGGUGACCACGAGUCACCGAGGUGCCGAAGGGAAACCGUGAAACGUGCCGCCUGGGAAGUACGGUCGCAAGGCUGAAACUUAAAGGAAUUGGCGGGGGAGCACCGCAACGGGAGGAGCGUGCGGUUCAAUUGGAUUCAACGCCGAAAAACUCACCAGGAGCGACGGAUAUAUGAAGGUCAAGCUGAUGACUUUACCUGAUUUUCCGAGAGGAGGUGCAUGGCGUAGUCGUGU